RNAcentral lists this ribosomal RNA (253 nucleotides) under uncultured bacterium. RNAcentral's name for it is "partial 16S ribosomal RNA". It matches the Rfam family "Bacterial small subunit ribosomal RNA", at positions 524 to 776 of the family's 1533-position model. The record is from RNAcentral.
UACGUAGGGUGCAAGCGUUGUCCGGAAUUAUUGGGCGUAAAGAGCUCGUAGGCGGUUUGUCGCGUCUGCUGUGAAAACGCGAGGCUCAACCUCGCGCCUGCAGUGGGUACGGGCAGACUAGAGUGCGGUAGGGGAGAUUGGAAUUCCUGGUGUAGCGGUGGAAUGCGCAGAUAUCAGGAGGAACACCGAUGGCGAAGGCAGAUCUCUGGGCCGUGAACUGACGCUGAGGAGCGAAGCGUGGGGAGCGAACAGG